AGAGGGAGAGUGAGUUCAGCCUAUCAUUUGAGAUCCGAGUAUGAUUGGGGAAAUAUCCUGAAAUAGUCCAUGAUUUGAAGAAAUGGAUAGAUGGCUAGAAUAAUAUGCUAGAUGGUACUCAGGUUACUAACUGCAGAAUUGAUUUGAUAAAAUUCUCAUCGUGUCUCCUGACUUAGGAGAAAUAUUGGGUCUGAUGAAUGGGUAAAAUUCCCAGGUGAAAAGAAUUUGGUCUGUAAGAUUUGGCAGCACCCUGAGGUUUGCCAUAUCUGAUGGCCUGGCUUUAGUGGCAGCACCUAGUGAAGGCCCAGGUGUCCUUCUGACAACCUUUACCGCCUACCGUUUUGUCCUUACUUAUGUUGAAUCACUACACACAGGCUGUUGAAUUCAGCUGUCUGUGGAGAAAUUAUACCAACCACAUGGUUAGACAGAAGGAAUACAAUAUAUUGCUUAAUUUGUAUCUGAAAGCUAAGCAACAUGGAAAAAAAUCAAGCCUGCUCAGUCACUUCCAUGAGGACAAAUGAAGACACUUCAAGGCUUAUGAAAACUAGGCAGAGGCAGCCCCCACCCAGUGACUGAUCAGCAGGGAGUUAUAAAGGCCCAAGCUCAUAUUCCAACAACGAAGGGCCAUACCAGCUCCAGAGCUUCCCAUGAAGUCAGGAGGACAUUGACAUGGAUCUGCCAGCUUUCUAAGCCUUUCCCCAGAUUCAAGUCCAGUCACAUCAAGUUGCCUUAUUAAAGGGUCUGCCCACUCAAAAGGAGAAAGUGCAAAAGAUGCUCAGCAAGGGUAGCAAACACAGUCAGAUGAUACUUCCUGACAGCAUCCAAGAGCAAGUCUCACCACCACAUCUGUCAAUAAAAAAGAAAACAAGGAGCUGCCAAUUUGUCUAUUUAUAGGUGCCAAUAAAAUCCUGCACAGAACUUUAGUCAACAAGACUAUUUCAGAAGGGGUGGCCAACAGUGUGGCCUUUCACUGGCAAGGGCCACCUUUGUCAUCACUUAAGAAAUAAAACCUGCCAAGUUUUCUGU
Long non-coding RNA from Pan troglodytes (chimpanzee), 1026 nucleotides. RefSeq lists it as uncharacterized. The record is from RefSeq and is a predicted model, not a curated record. NCBI's taxonomy places the organism in Eukaryota, Metazoa, Chordata, Mammalia, Primates, Hominidae. The transcript has 4 exons.